Molecule: ribosomal RNA, 159 nt
Filed under: Ixodes affinis
Lineage: Eukaryota; Metazoa; Arthropoda; Arachnida; Ixodida; Ixodidae
Description: partial 16S ribosomal RNA
Source: RNAcentral
CCCUGAUGCACAAGGUACCUUUUGAGGACUAUUUAAAUUUUAAAAUUAUAAAAUUUUUCAAUUUUCCUUUUCAGUGAAUAAAAUAAAAUUUUCUUUAAAAAAUACAAAUUUUAAUAUAAUUUUUGUUUUUAAUUCUUUUUAAAAAAUUUUUUAAAAAAU